CUAACAAGGAUUCCCCUAGUAACGGCGAGUGAAGCGGGAAGAGCACAAAUUUAAAAUCUACCUGGUUUCCAGGUCGAGUUGUAAUUUGAAGAAACGUUUUUGACGUUUCGGGUUGGGAUAAAUCCUUUGGGAUGAGGUAUCAUGGAGGGUGAGAAUCCCGUGUAUACCAACCGCAGGGAUGUUAUUUAAUACGUUUUCUAAGAGUCGAGUUGUUUGGGAAUGCAGCUCUAAAUGGGUGGUAAAUUUCACCUAAUGCUAAAUAUAAGCGAGAGACCGAUAGCGAACAAGUACCGUGAGGGAAAGAUGAAAAGAACUUUGAAAAGAGAGUUAAAUAGUAUGUGAAAUUGUUGAAAGGGAAACGAUUGAGGUCAGUCAUGCCGGCGGGAAUCAACUUAGGGGAAACUUUAAGUGCAUUUCACGUUUGGCAGGUCAGCGUCGAUUUUGGAUAUCAUAAAAUGAUUGGGGGAAGGUAGCUCCUUCGGGAGUGUUAUAGCCCCUGAUAGAUGUGAUGUCUGGGGUCGAGGAUUGCAACGGAUAUUCUUUGGGCUAGCCGCCUGAUCUCUAACUGGUGUUAGGUUACGGACAGCAUGCUGACCGUGAUUUAAUUACUGGUUAAAAGGUUAGAGCGAGUGUAAAUUUGUUAAGGACGC
Molecule: ribosomal RNA, 650 nt
Filed under: Dentiscutata heterogama
Lineage: Eukaryota; Fungi; Glomeromycota; Glomeromycetes; Diversisporales; Gigasporaceae
Description: eukaryotic LSU rRNA
Rfam family: Eukaryotic large subunit ribosomal RNA
Source: RNAcentral